CGUGUAGGCGGACUCGCAAGUCGGUUGUGAAAUCCCUGGGCUCAACCUAGGAACUGCAUCCGAAACUGCUUGUCUUGAGUAAUGGAGAGGGUGGCGGAAUUCCCGGUGUAGAGGUGAAAUUCGUAGAUAUCGGGAGGAACAUCAGUGGCGAAGGCAGCCACCUGGACAUUUACUGACGCUGAGACGCGAAAGCGUGGGGAGCAAACAGGAUUAGAUACCCUGGUAGUCC
RNAcentral lists this ribosomal RNA (229 nucleotides) under uncultured bacterium. RNAcentral's name for it is "partial 16S ribosomal RNA". It matches the Rfam family "Bacterial small subunit ribosomal RNA", at positions 568 to 796 of the family's 1533-position model. The record is from RNAcentral.